GACGAACGCUGGCGGCGUGCUUAACACAUGCAAGUCGAACGGAAAGGCCUCUUUCGGGGGGUACUCGAGUGGCGAACGGGUGAGUAACACGUGAGUAACCUGCCCUUGACUUUGGGAUAACUUCAGGAAACUGGGGCUAAUACCGGAUAGGAGCUCCUGCUGCAUGGUGGGGGUUGGACAUUUUCGGCGGUUGGGGAUGGACUCGCGGCUUAUCAGCUUGUUGGUGGGGUAGUGGCUUACCAAGGCUUUGACGGGUAGCCGGCCUGAGAGGGUGACCGGCCACAUUGGGACUGAGAGACGGCCCAGACUCCGACGGGAGGCAGAAGUGGGGAAUAUUGCACAAGGGGUGGAAGCCUGAUGCAGCAACGCCGUGGGCGGGAUGACGGCCUUCGGGUUGUAAACCGCUUUCGCUCAUGACGAAGCUUUGUGUGACGGUAGUGGGUAAAGAAGCACCGGCUAACUACGUG
This 467-nucleotide ribosomal RNA is filed under the name uncultured bacterium. Its description in RNAcentral is "partial 16S ribosomal RNA". It matches the Rfam family "Bacterial small subunit ribosomal RNA", at positions 28 to 507 of the family's 1533-position model. The record is from RNAcentral.